AGCAGCCGCGGUAAUUCCAGCUCCAAUAGCGUAUAUAAAGUUGUUGCAGUUAAAAGCUCUAGUUGAAUUUCGGGGUCAAGUUUAGGUUCGGGUUGGCUGCUGGGGCCCAUUCCCGGAUAUCGGUUCCAGCCAUGGCUUGACCCUUCACGUAGAUUUCCGGAUUUCCCCUUUACCCCUUCUGGAAAAUUAACCGAAGGCCAUUGGCUUAAAUUUAAGGU
Molecule: ribosomal RNA, 218 nt
Filed under: uncultured Glomeromycotina
Lineage: Eukaryota; Fungi; Glomeromycota
Description: partial small subunit ribosomal RNA
Rfam family: Eukaryotic small subunit ribosomal RNA
Source: RNAcentral